CCUACGGGUGGCAGCAGUGAGGAAUAUUGGUCAAUGGACGAGAGUCUGAACCAGCCAAGUAGCGUGAAGGAUGACUGCCCUAUGGGUUGUAAACUUCUUUUAUAUGGGAAUAAAAUGUUCCACGUGUGGGAUUUUGUCUGUACCAUAUCAAUAAGGAUCGGCUAACUUCGUGCCAGCAGCCGCGGUAAUACGGUGGAUCCGAGCGUUAUCCGGAUUUAUUGGGUUUAAAGGGAGCGUAGGUGGAUUGUUAAGUCAGUUGUGAAAGUUUGCGGCUCAAUCGUAAAAUUGCAGUUGAAACUGGCAGUCUUGAGUACAGUAGAGGUGGGCGGAAUUCGUGGUGUAGCGGUGAAAUGCUUAGAUAUAACGAAGAACUCCGAUUGCGAAGGCAGCUCACUGGACUGCAACUGACACUGAGGCUCGAAAGUGUGGGUAGCAAACAGGAUUAGAGACCCUUGUAGUC
Molecule: ribosomal RNA, 460 nt
Filed under: uncultured bacterium
Lineage: Bacteria
Description: partial 16S ribosomal RNA
Rfam family: Bacterial small subunit ribosomal RNA
Source: RNAcentral